This 459-nucleotide ribosomal RNA is filed under the name uncultured bacterium. Its description in RNAcentral is "partial 16S ribosomal RNA". It matches the Rfam family "Bacterial small subunit ribosomal RNA", at positions 338 to 795 of the family's 1533-position model. The record is from RNAcentral.
CCUACGGGAGGCAGCAGUGAGGAAUAUUGGUCAAUGGCCGAGAGGCUGAACCAGCCAAGUCGCGUGAGGGAAGAAUGUCCUAUGGAUUGUAAACCUCUUUUGUCAGGGCGCAAAGUCACCCACGUGUGGGUGUUGGAGAGUACCUGAAGAACAAGCAUCGGCUAACUCCGUGCCAGCAGCCGCGGUAAUACGGAGGAUGCGAGCGUUAUCCGGAUUUAUUGGGUUUAAAGGGUGCGUAGGCGGGUUAUCAAGUCAGCGGUAAAAGCGUGGAGCUCAACUCCAUCCAGCCGUUGAAACUGAUGAUCUUGAGUGGGCGAGAAGUAUGCGGAAUGCGUGGUGUAGCGGUGAAAUGCAUAGAUAUCACGCAGAACUCCGAUUGCGAAGGCAGCGUACCGGCGCCCAACUGACGCUGAAGCACGAAGGCGUGGGUAUCGAACAGGAUUAGAUACCCGUGUAGUC